GUCCAGAUUAGAAUUUUAGUUCAACCUUAAAUUUACCUGAAAGAAUUAAUAAUCCUAAUGUAAGUUUAACAGUUAUUCUAAAGAGGUACAGCUCUUUAGACAAAGGAAACAGCCUUAUUUAGAGAGUAAAUCAUAAACUCCACAUAGUUGGCUUAAAAGCAGCCACCAAUUAAAAAAGCGUUCAAGCUUAACUUAAUAAUUAACCCAACUUAAUUCCACACUUUAUUGUGAUCUCCUAAUAACAAUAACUGGACUAUUCUAUAAUCUUAUAGACGAGAUAAUGUUGAUAUUAGUAACAAGAAGCGAUUCUCCUUGCACAAGCUUAUAUCAGAUCGAAUAACUCACUGAUAGUUAACAGACAUAUAAUUAUAACUAAAAUCUUAAAUCCUUAUUAUUUAAACUGUUAACCCAACACCGGCGUGCAUAAAAGGAAAGAUUAAAAAAAGUAAAAGGAACUCGGCAAACAUUAACCCCGCCUGUUUACCAAAAACAUCACCUCUAGCAUUACUAGUAUUAGAGGCACUGCCUGCCCAGUGACAUGCGUUUAACGGCCGCGGUAUCCUGACCGUGCAAAGGUAGCAUAAUCAUUUGUUCCUUAAAUAGGGACUUGUAUGAAUGGCCUCACGAGGGUUAGACUGUCUCUUACUUUUAAUCAGUGAACUUGACCUUCCCGUGAAGAGGCGGGAAUAAAAUAAUAAGACGAGAAGACCCUAUGGAGCUUAAAUCUAUUUAGCUUAAGCACACACUACUCCCUCCCCAUGGGGAUUAACAAAUCUGUCUCGUAAGCUGAAGAUUUUGGUUGGGGUGACCUCGGAGCACAGAACAACCUCCGAAUGAUUUUAGCCUAGACUAAACUAGUCAAAGCAACUACUCAUUAAUUGACCCAAACUUAUUGAUCAACGGAACAAGUUACCCUAGGGAUAACAGCGCAAUCCUACCCAAGAGUCCCUAUCGACAGUAGGGUUUACGACCUCGAUGUUGGAUCAGGACAUCCAAGUGGUGCAACAGCUACUAAUGGUUCGUUUGUUCAACGAUUAAAG
RNAcentral lists this ribosomal RNA (1040 nucleotides) under Sciurus carolinensis carolinensis. RNAcentral's name for it is "partial 16S ribosomal RNA". It matches the Rfam family "Bacterial large subunit ribosomal RNA", at positions 905 to 2593 of the family's 2925-position model. The record is from RNAcentral. Lineage: Eukaryota; Metazoa; Chordata; Mammalia; Rodentia; Sciuridae.